RNAcentral lists this unclassified non-coding RNA (264 nucleotides) under Hevea brasiliensis (rubber tree). Lineage: Eukaryota; Viridiplantae; Streptophyta; Magnoliopsida; Malpighiales; Euphorbiaceae. The record is from RNAcentral.
CUCUCUCUCUCUCUCUCUCUCGUAGCCACUAGUUUAUGCUGCAAAUGGGGAAGCUAUUAUCUCCCAUGAAUUCCCUAAGAGGCAGAGAGACCUAGUAUGUGCACCACUGGACCAAUAGACCAUUGAAAGGCCGCCUGGGAGAAGAAUUAUCCUGUGAUUUUUUUUGUUUUUAUAAUUUUGUGUCAUUUAUAGUUGUUUUACCGCAUUAUAUUCAAUUUAAUUUUUUAUUCAUUGUUACAGGCAAUUACAUUUUCUGACUUUUUU